This 447-nucleotide ribosomal RNA is filed under the name Alcaligenes faecalis. Its description in RNAcentral is "bacterial SSU rRNA". It matches the Rfam family "Bacterial small subunit ribosomal RNA", at positions 1012 to 1463 of the family's 1533-position model. The record is from RNAcentral. Lineage: Bacteria; Pseudomonadati; Pseudomonadota; Betaproteobacteria; Burkholderiales; Alcaligenaceae.
CAGUGCUCGCAAGAGAACCGGAACACAGGUGCUGCAUGGCUGUCGUCAGCUCGUGUCGUGAGAUGUUGGGUUAAGUCCCGCAACGAGCGCAACCCUUGUCAUUAGUUGCUACGCAAGAGCACUCUAAUGAGACUGCCGGUGACAAACCGGAGGAAGGUGGGGAUGACGUCAAGUCCUCAUGGCCCUUAUGGGUAGGGCUUCACACGUCAUACAAUGGUCGGGACAGAGGGUCGCCAACCCGCGAGGGGGAGCCAAUCUCAGAAACCCGAUCGUAGUCCGGAUCGCAGUCUGCAACUCGACUGCGUGAAGUCGGAAUCGCUAGUAAUCGCGGAUCAGAAUGUCGCGGUGAAUACGUUCCCGGGUCUUGUACACACCGCCCGUCACACCAUGGGAGUGGGUUUCACCAGAAGUAGGUAGCCUAACCGUAAGGAGGGCGCUUACCACGGU